GGAGGAGCCGGCCUGGCUUCGGAAACGCCGCUGGAAUCGGCGUGGGCCCGGAAGGGUCCCGUGGGUUCGAAUCCCACCUCCUCCGC
RNAcentral lists this transfer RNA (86 nucleotides) under Actinoplanes octamycinicus. Its description in RNAcentral is "tRNA-Ser". The record is from RNAcentral. Lineage: Bacteria; Bacillati; Actinomycetota; Actinomycetes; Micromonosporales; Micromonosporaceae.